RNAcentral lists this long non-coding RNA (236 nucleotides) under Nicotiana benthamiana. RNAcentral describes it as "long non-coding RNA (NBEN_LNC034688)". The record is from RNAcentral. Lineage: Eukaryota; Viridiplantae; Streptophyta; Magnoliopsida; Solanales; Solanaceae.
AAAACAGGUCAUGAGCAAAUUUAUUCAACAAAUAACAUUACCUAGAAGCGACUACACAGAAGGAACCAUGGAAACUUAUUUAAAGUGCAUCUGGUGAAAUGAAGUAUAAAUGUUCCUGUUGGAUCUUCAAUUAUCUCCAAUGUAUUAUUUAUAUUUGUGAGAAAGUAGUUUCUCAAUUCCUGCAGCUCCAUACUUUCAAAAUUCUGCAAUUUAACUUUCUUUUAACUCAUGCCUCC